UAAUACGAGGGGUGCAAGCGUUAAUCGGAAUUACUGGGCGUAAAGCGUUCGUAGGCGGUUAUUUAAGCAAGAUGUGAAAGCCCAGGGCUCAACCUUGGAACUGCAUUUUGAACUGGGUAACUAGAGUACUGUAGAGGGUGGUGGAACUUCCAGUGUAGCGGUGAAAUGCGUAGAGAUUGGAAGGAACAUCAGUGGCGAAGGCGGCCACCUGGACAGAUACUGACGCUGAGGAACGAAAGCGUGGGGAGCGAACAGGAUUAGAUACCCUGGUAGUCCACGCCGUAAACGAUGUCAACUAGCCGUUCGUGGACUUGAUCCGUGAGUGGCGCAGCUAACGCACUAAGUUGACCGCCUGGGGAGUACGGCCGCAAGGUUA
Molecule: ribosomal RNA, 376 nt
Filed under: uncultured Alteromonadales bacterium
Lineage: Bacteria; Pseudomonadati; Pseudomonadota; Gammaproteobacteria; Alteromonadales
Description: bacterial SSU rRNA
Rfam family: Bacterial small subunit ribosomal RNA
Source: RNAcentral